RNAcentral lists this ribosomal RNA (301 nucleotides) under uncultured bacterium. RNAcentral describes it as "partial 16S ribosomal RNA". It matches the Rfam family "Bacterial small subunit ribosomal RNA", at positions 509 to 809 of the family's 1533-position model. The record is from RNAcentral.
CAGCCGCCGCGGGAAUACGUAGGGUGCAAGCGUUAAUCGGAAUUACUGGGCGUAAAGCGUGCGCAGGCGGUUUCUUAAGUCUGAUGUGAAAGCCCCCGGCUCAACCGGGGAGGGUCAUUGGAAACUGGGAAACUUGAGUGCAGAAGAGGAGAGUGGAAUUCCACGUGUAGCGGUGAGAUGCGUAGAGAUGUGGAGGAACACCAGUGGCGAAGGCGACUCUCUGGUCUGUAACUGACGCUGAGGAGCGAAAGCGUGGGGAGCGAACAGGAUUAGAUACCCCCGUAGUCCCUGUCUCUUAUAA